UUGUGUGAAGAGAACUCACUCCAAAGCCGCUUUCUCUCCUCACGAUCAGCGCUCCUCACCGCCGUCGACUCGCCAUCGCAUACACAGAUUGCUCUCCUGCAUACCCCUCUCUAAAGUCGUACGCCUCUUCCUGUCUCUUCUUUUUUGAUUACAUAUAAAUGUGGCUUCCAUCUAUUUUUCUUUCCUUCAUAAUGUAUAUGUACGUCGACCAGUCUUUGAAAAUGCAGGGGGUAAUGCCAAAUUUGUAUUUUUCUGUUCUUCUAUUCGAUCGAUUUUAUUUUUGGUAGGUUUUGGUGCUGUAUUAUUUUAGGAAGACAAACUGAUAACUAUGGUGCUAAUUAGCUUAACUAUGCUAAUUUUAUUGAUAAAUUCACCGCUUGGUUACAUAACCAUCGCUGUCCCAGUUUCAAAUUCAUCCAUCCACCACAAUUAUUUGUCAUUUACACAAACAGCUUAUGUGCAUUGAACGUCCAGUUCGUAUUGUUUUACUUGAGCAAUUAAUUGAACAUCUUCAGUCAUCCAACAGCCACUUUAUCAUUCCUGUGGUAAAGCUAUGUUUCAUAUGCACCUAUAUUAUCAAACGCAUUUGGUGAUUCCGCCUUUCACUUCGUAUCAUAAAAUAUUAUUGGAGCGGUUUGUAUUAUUAGAAGACCUGCGUAUGGUUAUUGACAAUGAGAUGUGCUGAUAGAAUGCUUCAUGAAAAUUGGUUCACGAGCUGGAAGAUCUUCCUUUGUUGUAGACCGGGGAACAAGAGAAUGAAAGUCAAGAUUAUACAUGGCAUGCUGUUGCUUCUUGGACAUGGGAUGCCCAAGACGAGACUUGUGGUAUUUGUAGG
Long non-coding RNA from Salvia splendens (bonfire salvia), 835 nucleotides. RefSeq lists it as uncharacterized. Lineage: Eukaryota; Viridiplantae; Streptophyta; Magnoliopsida; Lamiales; Lamiaceae. The record is from RefSeq and is a predicted model, not a curated record. The transcript has 3 exons.